This is a non-coding RNA of Cinara cedri, 228 nucleotides long. NCBI's taxonomy places the organism in Eukaryota, Metazoa, Arthropoda, Insecta, Hemiptera, Aphididae. The record is from the annotation of a GenBank genome assembly.
AUUAUAUUAGCCUCGUUUUUAAAUCCGUGUUUCGAGUAAAACGGUCCAAGUAUAACGUGAAUUAUCGUAGCGUUUCGUUCGUCGCUAUUGAAUUUUGACAACCAAAACGUAAUUCAAUUCUAUGUUGUACACGGUUUCAUUUCAUGGUAUAAAAUAAUCGGCUGGCGGUAUAUUUUUGAUUUAUGCCGAAAACGCUGUUAAUAUUAGCAAUGUUCCAAACCCGAUUUC